Molecule: non-coding RNA, 26 nt
Filed under: Homo sapiens (human)
Lineage: Eukaryota; Metazoa; Chordata; Mammalia; Primates; Hominidae
Source: RNAcentral
UCAGUAGAGCCACGACAGGGUGGAGA